GACGAACGCUGGCGGCGUGCCUAAUACAUGCAAGUAGAACGCUGAAGAGAGGAGCUUGCUCUUCUUGGAUGAGUUGCGAACGGGUGAGUAACGCGUAGGUAACCUGCCUUGUAGCGGGGGAUAACUAUUGGAAACGAUAGCUAAUACCGCAUAACAAUGGAUGACACAUGUCAUUUAUUUGAAAGGGGCAAUUGCUCCACUACAAGAUGGACCUGCGUUGUAUUAGCUAGUAGGUGAGGUAAUGGCUCACCUAGGCGACGAUACAUAGCCGGCCUGAGAGGGUGAUCGGCCACACUGGGACUGAGACACGGCCCAGACUCCUACGGGAGGCAGCAGUAGGGAAUCUUCGGCAAUGGGGGCAACCCUGACCGAGCAACGCCGCGUGAGUGAAGAAGGUUUUCGGAUCGUAAAGCUCUGUUGUAAGUCAAGAACGGGUGUGAGAGUGGAAAGUUCACACUGAGACGGUAGCUUACCAGAAAGGGACGGCUAACUACGUG
RNAcentral lists this ribosomal RNA (497 nucleotides) under uncultured bacterium. RNAcentral's name for it is "partial 16S ribosomal RNA". It matches the Rfam family "Bacterial small subunit ribosomal RNA", at positions 28 to 507 of the family's 1533-position model. The record is from RNAcentral.